RNAcentral lists this long non-coding RNA (2320 nucleotides) under Homo sapiens (human). RNAcentral's name for it is "HSALNT0285944". The record is from RNAcentral. Lineage: Eukaryota; Metazoa; Chordata; Mammalia; Primates; Hominidae.
AGGUGCUGUAAGAAAACUGCCCAUGGCUCCUUUCCCAGCAUAAUAAGCAGAAACAUUGAGGAUGCCAUUGGAAUUAGUGUCAAAAGUGACUUCAAUCUGAGGAACACCUCGGGGUGCAGGAGAGAGCCCCACCUGGAAGACUCUAGGUUCUCAUCUUCAUGCCCCGAUGUAAGGAGAGUGGUCCUUCUGUACAUCAGGAGUCUGAAAUGCAUCUCACUGGGCUAAAAUCAAGAUCUGUGGCACAUGGAACCACAUGUGGGACAAGAGACUAAUAAAGAUGUGACCUACUCACAGAGGCUUCAGGUGUUUUGCGAAGUACAUUGGCUUUUAUUCAACGUGCAGUGGGACUCCAACUAAAGUGUUUCAGGAAGGUACAACCUACAUGACAUGUUUUUCCUAAAGACAAUGCCUCCACUCCGAGUAAGUCACAGUCAAAGUAAAUGAAGAGCCCAAGAUGACAUCAGUUCCAUUUGUCGCACGGCCCUUUUGUGAUCUCCUGGUUCUUGUAAAUCUCACUGUGGCUGAUGAGGUCUGGAUAGAUAAUCAUGAUGGUGGCUGAAGAGAGACAAUGGUGGUGCUAGGUUACCAGUGGCGUGGAGCUCAGAGCUAAUGCAGAGCAGCUGGAGCAGUGCUGAGUUUCAAAACGUGUUGGAAAAAAUAUUAUAUGAAUGAUGCUAUUUUUUUCACUGAAUCACAUCAAGAAGCACAUGAUGUUAAGCUGUCUCAUCAUUGGUGGUGUUAACUUGGAUCGCUUGAUUAAGGUGAUGCCUUUCAUAUUUAUAUACUACAAAGUUAGCCCUUUUUAAUCAAUAAGUAAUCUAUUCAGAGAUAAAUGAGAACUGCAUAAAUAUCUUGGUAACAAACAAGUUUUACCCAAUAUUGUUUUCCUCCAUUGAUGAUUCUUGCCUUAAUCAAUUAUUACCAUGACAGUAGCAAAAUAGUGAUAUUUUAGUUAUCAUUUCUUGUACAUGUAUUAGUUUUACAUAGUAAACAAAAGCGUUUCCUCCUCUCAUUUUCUCUUUCUCUCCCUUCUUUCCAUCCAUUCUUCCUUCCUUUCUAUUUCUGUCUGUCUCUGUCUCUGUCUCUGUGCCUCUCUGUCUCCUUUGCCCUUCUCAUUGUCCGUUUUUAUUUAUAUUUCUUAAUGUGUGGAUUCAUAAACUAUUCUUUUCAAUUGCAUUAUAAUCUGUUACUGUCAUUUUUUAUUGUACCAGAUUUAGCGAGUAUGAGCUAACAAUUUCUAAUUUUAAUCCAACAUUUUAAAUCACAUGGUCUUCUUCAUCUUCUCUGUUUACAUAUUCGUAUUUACUUCCUUUCACAAUCAUAAUCUUGCCUCCCUCCCCCAAAGGAAUAUAUUUUCUUCUAUGGGACACCAAAGAUAAUAGAUUUUAAUUUAGUUUUAGAGUUUUCCAAAAUGUUUGUUGAUUUAAUUUUAUUUUUGAUUAUGUAUUAAUUGAACAUGCUUCCAGUUUUCAAAAUUAUAUGAAAUGAUAUAUACAGAGAAUUGCCACUCAAUCUUCUCUUCUUCCCAUAUUAUUGUCACUUCUUGCCUGUGGUUAACCAAUUUCACUGGAUUCUGGUUAUCCUUGCGUUUAUUUUUUAAAAUAUGUAAGUUAUAUGUUAUUAUAUAUGUUUUUCCCUUAAAAUUUUUCCUGAUAAUCCAUAUCGGGCCAUAGAGAUCUCCUUUAUUACUUCCUGCAUAGUAAUCCAUUGUGUAUAUAUAUUAGGUUGGUGCAAAAGUCGUUGCAGUUUUUGCAAUUACUUUUAAUGGCAAAAACUGCAAUUACUUUUGCACCAACAUACAUCGUUUAGCCCGAGAACUACUCACUCUGGGUCUCCUCUCCACUGAGGGCUGCACACAUGCCGGGAUGACCUGCCUGUGGAAAGGAGCUACAACUUCAGGUCUCCUGAGAGCUGUAGGUAGGUUAGUUUUGCAUCGUUGAUUUAAGCAAUUUUCUAUGUAUGGGCGUUUACAUGGUAUCCAAUAAUUUGUUAUAUAACACAUAAUAUCCCAAUGCAUGAAGGCACAAAUAUGUAUUUUCUUGCUGUUGGUGGUGUAUGUUGGGGGUGAAUUCCUAAAGUGAUAUUGUUUGGUCAAAAGUUAAAUGUAUAUGUAGUUUUGGGUUACUAUUGGUAACUUUCCUUCCAUAGGAUUUGUACCAUUUUGCUUUCCCAUUAGCAAUGUGUAGGAAUGCCUGUUUCCCUGUAGCCUCCCCAACAGCUUGUGUUAUCAAGAUUUUGGAUAUUUAACAAACUUGAAGCCUUUUAGAGUUUUCUCAGGCUGAGAGCAAGCAGAGUUCAGGAGCCUGUAAGGAAAAUAGAA